RNAcentral lists this long non-coding RNA (303 nucleotides) under Manihot esculenta (cassava). Its description in RNAcentral is "long non-coding RNA (MESC_LNC002978)". The record is from RNAcentral. Lineage: Eukaryota; Viridiplantae; Streptophyta; Magnoliopsida; Malpighiales; Euphorbiaceae.
UUGAUGUGUUGUAGUUGGGGUUUAAGGUAGUUUGAGACCCCUAGGAGCUUGUAUGCAUGUUUUGGUUGAGCUAAAUGCAUGAUGGUUUGAGUUUGAGGAAAAUGUGCAUAGAGGAGCCAAGUUUCUGCCCUUUGGCAGAAACCAGGUUCGGCAGCCGAAGGACUUUCGGCCGCCGAACAUGGCUGGGGAGGCAAGCCUUUCGGCUGCCGAAGCCUGCCCCCGAAAGGAGACUUUCGUCUCUGUCUGGGACUUUCGGCCACCGAAAGUGCCGCCGAACAUGCAUGAGUUUCGUCUCUGUCUGGG